This 815-nucleotide ribosomal RNA is filed under the name uncultured bacterium. Its description in RNAcentral is "bacterial SSU rRNA". It matches the Rfam family "Bacterial small subunit ribosomal RNA", at positions 8 to 796 of the family's 1533-position model. The record is from RNAcentral.
AGAGUUUGAUCCUGGCUCAGAACGAACGCUGGCGGCGUGGAUAAGACAUGCAAGUCGAGCGCUAAUUUCGGAGUAGCAAUAUUCCGGAGUUGGAGCGGCGCAAGGGUGCGUAACACGUGGGUAAUCUGCCAUGAAGUCUGGAAUAACUUGCUGAAAGGCGAGCUAAUACCGGAUGUGACCAUCGGGAGGCAUCUCCUGGUGUUUAAAGCUGGGGACCGUAAGGCCUGGCGCUUCAUGAUGAACCCGCGGCCUAUCAGCUAGUUGGUGAGGUAACGGCCCACCAAGGCUAAGACGGGUAGCUGGUCUGAGAGGACGACCAGCCACACUGGAACUGAGACACGGUCCAGACACCUACGGGUGGCAGCAGUCGAGAAUUUUUCACAAUGGGCGCAAGCCUGAUGGAGCGACGCCGCGUGGGGGAUGAAUGGCUUCGGCCCGUAAACCCCUGUCAUUCGCGAUCAAACCUUGCUAUUUAAAAGAUGGUGAGCUGAUAGUAGCGGAAGAGGAAGGGACGGCUAACUCUGUGCCAGCAGCCGCGGUAAUACAGAGGUCCCAAGCGUUGUUCGGAUUCACUGGGCGUAAAGGGUGCGUAGGUGGUGAGGUAAGUCGGAUGUGAAAGCUCGGAGCUCAACUCCGAAAUGGCAUUGGAAACUACCUUGCUCGAGGGUUGGAGGGGGGACUGGAAUACUUGGUGUAGCAGUGAAAUGCGUAGAUAUCAAGUGGAACACCAGUGGCGAAGGCGAGUCCCUGGACAACUCCUGACACUGAGGCACGAAAGCUAGGGGAGCAAACAGGAUUAGAUACCCUAGUAGUCC